AGAGUUUGAUCAUGGCUCAGGACGAACGCUGGCGGCAGGCUUAACACAUGCAAGUCGAGCGCCCUGCUUGCAGGGAGCGGCAGACGGGUGAGUAACGCGUGGGAACGUGCCCUUCGGUACGGAACAACAGUUAGAAAUGACUGCUAAUACCGUAUACGACCUCCGGGUGAAAGAUUUAUCGCCGAAGGAUCGGCCCGCGUUAGAUUAGGUAGUUGGUGGGGUAAAGGCCUACCAAGCCUACGAUCUAUAGCUGUUCUGAGAGGAAGAUCAGCCACACUGGGACUGAGACACGGCCCAGACUCCUACGGGAGGCAGCAGUGGGGAAUAUUGGACAAUGGGGGCAACCCUGAUCCAGCCAUGCCGCGUGGAUGAAGAAGGCCCUAGGGUUGUAAAGUCCUUUCACCGCCGAGGAUAAUGACGGUAGGCGGAGAAGAAGCCCCGGCUAAUUUCGUGCCAGCAGCCGCGGUAAUACGAAAGGGGCUAGCGUUGUUCGGAAUUACUGGGCGUAAAUCGCGCGUAGGCGGCUUAUCAAGUUGGGGGUGAAAUCCCGGAGCUCAACUCCGGAACUGCCUCCAAAACUGGUAGGCU
This 588-nucleotide ribosomal RNA is filed under the name uncultured Alphaproteobacteria bacterium. Its description in RNAcentral is "bacterial SSU rRNA". It matches the Rfam family "Bacterial small subunit ribosomal RNA", at positions 8 to 642 of the family's 1533-position model. Lineage: Bacteria; Pseudomonadati; Pseudomonadota; Alphaproteobacteria. The record is from RNAcentral.